Long non-coding RNA from Helicoverpa armigera (cotton bollworm), 1130 nucleotides. RefSeq lists it as uncharacterized. The transcript is spliced from 3 exons. NCBI's taxonomy places the organism in Eukaryota, Metazoa, Arthropoda, Insecta, Lepidoptera, Noctuidae. The record is from RefSeq and is a predicted model, not a curated record.
GUGAUAGUUUCAUUUGAUAUUUAAGUACGAGAGGUCGUUUCAGAUAUAAGUACCUUUUUUAAGAUUUUGAUAAAAUGAAGUUGUUGGUUUGCAGUUUUUUACUAUUGGUGGUUUUGGAAGAAUAUCAUUGUAAGCCGCACUUUACCCACGCAAUUUUAAAAGCAAUAGGAAGAAAUGAUAAACACCCUCGUACAUACAUUCUACCUGUAUAUGUUCCUGUAGCGCCACUCCAGUAUCCUUCAAGUAGUUAUAAUCCUUACAAUCGGCACCCCUCGUACCCUCCGAAUAAUGGACCUGUGGAUGAUGGAAUAUGGCGAGGGAAUUCGUACCAGGGACAAUACAGUUAUUUACAGCAUCCUGCAUAUAACUCAUACCAGAAUGGUUUACCGAAUGCCAUGAGUUCACCGUAUGGCAGCCCGACUUCAAACUAUGGCACCCCGUCUUCAACGAAUGUUACCCCGUAUUUCACGAAUGGUACACCGAAUCAAUUUAAUGGAUCUCCGUAUUUAGCGAACCCAAACCAAAUUCAUGGUACUCCUUAUUCAACGAACUCAAACCAAUUUAUUGGUUCCCAGUAUUCAACGAACCCAAACCAAGUUAAUCGUACUCCGUAUUCAAUGAAUGGUACACCAAACCAAAUAAAUGGUUCCCCGUAUUCAGCGAACCCAAACCAAAUAAAUAGUUCCCCGUAUUCAGCGAACCCAAACCAAAUAAAUGGUACUCCUUAUUCAACGAACCCAAACCAAGUUAACAAUACUCCUUAUUCAACGAACCCAAACCAAGUUAACAAUACUCCUUAUUCAACGAACCCAAACCAAGUUAACAAUACUCCGUAUUCAACGAACCCAAACCAAAUUAACAAUACUCCGUAUUCAACGAACCCGAACCAAAUUAAUGGUACUCCGUAUUCAACGAAUGUCAUACCUUCAACUACUCCAUCUGUGAAAGUCGUUUAAGCACUGUUAAAUUAAAGGUAAAAAAUAAUAAUAUGUAUCAAAUUGUAAUAUUGUUUUGUGUAAUAAAGAGGAACCUUUUUUUUGUUUUCUUAUCUGUACCCUAAAGGCUUCGAAACUACUGAUCCCAUUUGAAAAAAUCUUUCACCAAGUCAAAGUUUAUUUCAUUUAGGCCUU